This 460-nucleotide ribosomal RNA is filed under the name uncultured bacterium. RNAcentral describes it as "partial 16S ribosomal RNA". It matches the Rfam family "Bacterial small subunit ribosomal RNA", at positions 338 to 795 of the family's 1533-position model. The record is from RNAcentral.
CCUACGGGGGGCAGCAGUGAGGAAUAUUGGUCAAUGGACGAGAGUCUGAACCAGCCAAGUAGCGUGAAGGAUGACUGCCCUAUGGGUUGUAAACUUCUUUUAUAUGGGAAUAAAAUGUUCCACGUGUGGGUUUUUGUAUGUACCAUAUGAAUAAGGAUCGGCUAACUCCGUGCCAGCAGCCGCGGUAAUACGGUGGAUCCGAGCGUUAUCCGGAUUUAUUGGGUUUAAGGGGAGCGUAGGUGGAUUGUUAAGUCAGUUGUGAAAGUUUGCGGCUCAACCGUAAAAUUGCAGUUGAAACUGGCAGUCUUGAGUACAGUAGAGGUGGGCGGAAUUCGUGGUGUAGCGGUGAAAUGCUUAGAUAUCACGAAGAACUCCGAUUGCGAAGGCAGCUCACUGGACUGCAACUGACACUGAGGCUCGAAAGUGUGGGUAUCAAACAGGAUUAGAUACCCCUGUAGUC